UCUUUUGUAUGGUCAGCAAACUAAGAGGGGCUCUGCAUUGUGAUGUAAUUAAUUAUAACCAAUAUUAUAUAAAUAGUUAAUAAAUGGUUUAAUGAAUAAAGCAAGCCAGAACACCAUAGAAAAAUUUGGGAUAAAGUACCACUCUGCUCACACUACCACUACAUUGACGACCACUCUUAGCCACAAUUUAUCAACUCCUGUUUAUGGGCCAAGGAAUGUAUGGGGCACACAAAUACAUCAUUAAUAUCUAUAAGACCCAAUUUUGCAGGUAGAAUUAUUCCUACUUUACGGAUUAAGGAACCAAAACAGUUUAGGUAGUAGAGGUAGAUUACAUUAUCCUCCCCAAUUCUUCACCCUCCUGUAGCUUUGUCAUGUGACAGCAUUUUUUCCCACUUAAGCGAUAGGAGGGUUUUGAAGCCUCUUGAUUUUGGGUUGGUGGUGCAACUAGCUUUGGCCAGUAGAAUAUAGCAGAAGUGAUGCUGCACUGGUGCCACACUUAGGUCUUGGAAGUCUUGUGUGUUUUUUCUUGCCCUCUGGUACUUUAACCAGUAUCAUGGAAACACACCUAUGUGCUGGGAAACUGCGUUUUCUGAUCCAGGAAUAGAGUGGGAGACACAUGCAGCAAAGCCACUCAGGAAAGCAUUCCCAGCCAAUCUGCAGGUAUGUGAGCAAUUGCACCAGAAAUCAGAAAAUCCACCUGCUUUGAGGCCAGUUUGGAGCAGCCAACUCUUGGAUGAUGCCCAGACAUUCAGGCAAAAUCAGUGCUUAUGGUUGCAUGCCACUGAGAUUUUGUAGUCAUUUGUCAUGCAGCAAAUCUAACCAAUGCAUUGUCCUAAGAUUUGAUAAAGCCAGGAUUCUAACCCAGAUUUGUUUCAAACCAAAACAUCAUGUCAUGCUUAAUGUCCUAUGAAGGAGAUCUGACAUGAGUGUCUCCUAAGAAAGAGUAAAUAAUUGCUGCUAUUAAUGGGCUACUGACUAUGCUAUCUUAUUGAAUCUUUGCAGCAAGUCAAAGCCUUAGGUAUUAUUUCCAUACUAUAGACAAGGCUUGGAGCAUUUAUGUCCCCAGCGUUCACAUAAUAUAAAGUGGAAGAGCCAAGAUUUGUAUACAGAUUUCUUUUUCUCUAAAGCCAAUGAACCCUCUGUUUUCACUGGAUUUGGAUAGGUUUCUUGAUGUGCGUGUGCGUGUGUCUAUGUAUGUGUGUGUGUGAGUGUGUGUGUGUGUGUGUGUGAAUGAAUGUUGCGAGGAACUUUUUUGCGGGGGAGGUCACCCCACUGUGCUUUGUGUAUUUCCUUGUCUGACUGAUUUGUCUACGAUGUGAGGAUCCAGUUACCAAGACAGUGUAUACUCCAUGGCCAAGAACAUGGAUAUAUUCUGAAAUUUCUGCUAAGGGAGAAAGGAUUGUUACUUUUGUUUUGUUUUUACUACAUUUAUGCUUUCAUCAAUGGCUAUCAUUCUUCAAAUUUUCAAAAAUCGUCUCGUUUUUCCUGUGAUAUUUUCUCCCUUUCCUGAACAACUUGGGAAAGUGGGAAAGUUCAUCACAUCUUUGUAAAAUUUUUUUUCAAGAAGCAUCACCAACACUGCCCUCCCAGCAGGCCACUCAUGUUGAAACUAUUGUCAAAAUAUGGCACUCUGCCAUCAGUGAGAAUAGAUCUUGUCACUAACUCCGAGGGCUAUUGUAGAAAUUUGUCUCAUAGGUAUAUCCAGAAUCAGCAAGAUUUAUUUUCUUCCUUUGCUAUACAAUUGCAGCUCUUACUGCUUUGAGUUGUUUAGAAUGUGAAAAACUAGAUUUUAGGGAUUAGGACAAUGUAGGUACAUAAAAAAGAGGGUGGAAGAGUUCCAUGGAAACAUAUCUCCAGUGGGAUCAGAAUCAUCUAAAAGCAUUUGUGGCCCAGGUGGAAAACAGCAUGUGUGAAAAUCACUGUCCACGAUGGGAAUCAGGAGAACAAGAGAGUCCAUGGCAUUUUAGGGUAUAGUGGAGAGCACACAGGCUUUGGAGCUAAAUGGGAAUUAGCUCUGCCAUUUAGUGUAUAUGUGAACUUUUUUCCCCCCAAGUUAAUUGUUUUCUUGGGAUCUCCAUUUUGUCAUUUAAAAUAAGAAGUGUUAGUUGCAAAUCUUUCAGCUUCCAGGGAUAGAUGGCAAUGUGAACUAGUUUAUAAAAAGUGAAAUCCAUCAGCUCACAAUACUGAUGAAUCUGGCUUUCAUUCUGGCUGCCUGCUGGUUUGGCUGGCUUCAGGUAUAGCUGGCUUCAGGGGUUCAGACUGCAUCAUCACAGUUCUUUUCAUCUCCAAUGCUCAGCCUUGCCUACCUAUGCUUGGUAUCAUUCUCAGAUAGGCUUUUCCUCUGGGAUGGCAAGGGGCCAUCGGAUUUUCAAACUCCUCAGAGCUCAUAAAGUCACUGAAACAGCAAGUGCCUUUAUCUAUGUGUCCAAGAUCUAUCUAAAUAUGGGAGUGACGGUGCUAGAUGUCUUUUGUGUUUCCUUCCAGAGACAUCUUUCAGAAGGAAGAACUCUUUCACCCUCUCCUUUGCCUUGGGAAGUGGUUCCACGUGAACCAUAUCAAGGUCUUCCUCCCCCUCUGAUUUUCACCUGGGUUUGGCCAAUGAGGAGCCCUGGCAGGAACGGCAAAGAGAAGACAACCAGCUUGGGAAAGACCGGUCUAGAUAAUACAGAGCUUCACCGUCCAGUAUGACAGCCACCAGCUACUUGCAGCUAUGGAAUACCUGCGAUAUGGUGGGUCUGAACGAAGAUGUGCAGUAAGUAUAAAAUGCACACUGGAUUUGAAGACUCAGUAUGGAAGAGUGUAAACUCCUUGAGAAAGGAUGUAGCCUUCUGUGUAUUUGUACUGCUUCGUUCCCAUCAAAGGAGGAAUGAAUAAAUGGAUGACUCAAUUGAGGAACUGUUUUCUGCUGGAUCCAGAUGCUGCUUCAGAAUCUUCUUCAGUGUGUACUCUAGACAGCCACGAGCAAUGAGAACUGGCACUCUAGAUGAGGCCUAUUUGUCAGGCUGCUGCAGAGAACUCUUCUCUCAUUGCCUCUACAGUGCAAAUGUCUUCUGCAAGGGAAUCUUGAGCAUAUCCACUGCCUGGAUUUUCUCUAAAGAUGACUGCCAGUAGGUUUUCCUUUCUCUCUGUGCACAUGCUGCUUCUUCCACUUAGAAAUGGAGUCUGUUUCCCUUCUCCUUGAAUCUAGGCUGGCUGGUGGAUUUGCUUUAACCACUACAGGGGGGCAGAAGUGACAGUGAGCCAGCUCUGAGACUAGCCCUUAAAAGGUCUGGGAGCCUCUACCUUCAUUUGCUCAGAAUCAGCUACCAUGCUGUAAUGAAGUCUAAGCUAUCCCCUUGGAGAGAAGACAUGUGGAGGGACCCUGGAGGAUGGAAUAUAUGCAAUAAAAGAGACCACAUGAAAAAGAACUAAGCUCCCCAGCCAACAGCCAGCACCAAGACCCAGACCCUUGAGAGAGGCCUCUGGGAACUUCCAAACCAUUCCAGCCGGCAACUGGAUGCACCCACACGAGUGAUACAGGUGGGACAUUGUGUGGAGCAGAACCACCAGUUAAAGUUCAAAUCGUGAGAUAUAAUAAGCUGUGAUUGUUCUACCUGACUAAGGUUGUUUUUUUUUUAUUUUUAUUUUUUAUUGAUGUACCAUUGACAUACAAUGUUGUAUUACUUUCCAUUGUAUAGCAAUGUGACUUAAUUAUACAUACAAGUAUAUAUAUUCCUUUUCAGAUUCUUUUCCAUUAUAGGUUAUUACAAGAUAUUGAAUAUAGUUCUCCAUGCUAUACAGUAGGUCCUUGUUUAUUUUAUUCACAGUGGUAUGUAUCUG
Sus scrofa (pig) is the source of this 3819-nucleotide non-coding RNA. The record is from RefSeq and is a predicted model, not a curated record. Lineage: Eukaryota; Metazoa; Chordata; Mammalia; Artiodactyla; Suidae.